CAGGCUUAACACAUGCAAGUCGAGGGGCAUCAGGAAGAAAGCUUGCUUUCUUUGCUGGCGACCGGCGCACGGGUGAGUAACACGUAUCCAACCUGCCCUUUACUCGGGGAUAGCCUUUCGAAAGAAAGAUUAAUACCCGAUAGCAUAAUGAUUCCGCAUGGUUUCAUUAUUAAAGGAUUCCGGUAAAGGAUGGGGACGCGUUCCAUUAGGUUGUUGGUGAGGUAACGGCUCACCAAGCCUUCGAUGGAUAGGGGUUCUGAGAGGAAGGUCCCCCACAUUGGAACUGAGACACGGUCCAAACUCCUACGGGAGGCAGCAGUGAGGAAUAUUGGUCAAUGGGCGGUAGCCUGAACCAGCCAAGUAGCGUGAAGGAUGAGGGCUCUAUGGGUCGUAAACUUCUUUUAUAUAAGAAUAAAGUGCAGUAUGUAUACUGUUUUGUAUGUAUUAUAUGAAUAAGGAUCGGCUAACUCCGUGCCAGCAGCCGCGGUAAUACGGAGGAUCCGAGCGUUAUCCGGAUUUAUUGGGUUUAAAGGGAGCGUAGGUGGACUGGUAAGUCAGUUGUGAAAGUUUGCGGCUCAACCGUAAAAUUGCAGUUGAUACUGUCAGUCUUGAGUACAGUAGAGGUGGGCGGAAUUCGUGGUGUAGCGGUGAAAUGCUUAGAUAUCACGAAGAACUCCGAUUGCGAAGGCAGCUCACUGGACUGCAACUGACACUGAUGCUCGAAAGUGUGGGUAUCAAACAGGAUUAGAUACCCUGGUAGUCCACACAGUAAACGAUGAAUACUCGCUGUUUGCGAUAUACAGUAAGCGGCCAAGCGAAAGCAUUAAGUAUUCCACCUGGGGAGUACGCCGGCAACGGUGAAACUCAAAGGAAUUGACGGGGGCCCGCACAAGCGGAGGAACAUGUGGUUUAAUUCGAUGAUACGCGAGGAACCUUACCCGGGCUUAAAUUGCAGUGGAAUGAUGUGGAAACAUGUCAGUGAGCAAUCACCGCUGUGAAGGUGCUGCAUGGUUGUCGUCAGCUCGUGCCGUGAGGUGUCGGCUUAAGUGCCAUAACGAGCGCAACCCUUAUCUUCAGUUACUAACAGGUCAUGCUGAGGACUCUGGAGAGACUGCCGUCGUAAGAUGUGAGGAAGGUGGGGAUGACGUCAAAUCAGCACGGCCCUUACGUCCGGGGCUACACACGUGUUACAAUGGGGGGUACAGAAGGCAGCUAGCGGGUGACCGUAUGCUAAUCCCAAAAUCCUCUCUCAGUUCGGAUCGAAGUCUGCAACCCGACUUCGUGAAGCUGGAUUCGCUAGUAAUCGCGCAUCAGCCACGGCGCGGUGAAUACGUUCCCGGGCCUUGUACACACCGCCCGUCAAGCCAUGGGAGCCGGGGGUACCUGAAGUACGUAACAGCAAGGAUCGUCCUAGGGUAAAACUGGUGACUGGGGCUAAG
RNAcentral lists this ribosomal RNA (1439 nucleotides) under uncultured organism. RNAcentral describes it as "16S ribosomal RNA". It matches the Rfam family "Bacterial small subunit ribosomal RNA". The record is from RNAcentral.